GGAGAGACGGAGCCAGCCAUACUAAGGAGAGCUUAAGUUUGACCAGUUCUUACCCUCCCCGACUAAAUCGGUUUCAGUUAUGUACUGAAAUAUAAGAAUGGACAUUAGAGGGUUCUUUCAAAGAAAAACUCAGCACAAAGAGGGAGAGAGGAACAGAGAGGGAGAUGGAGAAUGAGGACAGAACAGAGAUGAACAAGAGCAGAACACCGUCCUGAUCGGCCCUGUCAUCUGUGAAGUCUGUGAACAGAUAAAUUACACACCAAGUGAAUUCUGAGUGUCCUUUCUCCACAACUAGAGCCCCAUUACACUGUCCUAAGGCGUAUUAUGUUUUAUCACCCUUUUUUGCUUUAAUGGAACCCAUAAUUCACAAAAUGAACAUCGUUCUGUACUCUAUAAUUCUCGAAACUAGUGACUGAGACUCGCUGGAAAGUGUUUACUGAGGUAAUGAAUCAAGUUAGAGGUGGGUCAUUUUCUUACCCUUGCUGGCCAGUAGACACGAUGAAGGAUUAAGGUACAUUUUUCAAUCCUGAAUAUGUCUUAUAUCUGAGAGCAGUGAAGCUUUCAGUAUGCUGUCAAAGGAUAAUAUUCAGUUGUCUACAAUAGGAGGAUUAUUUAAAAUGACGGUUUGCCUACAAAGUAUUUCUAUCUCAGGAAAAUUGCAGUCUUAUGAUGAAGUUAAUUUAAUUCCUUUUGUCAGAACAGUCUUAUGCUCUUUUCACUUUUUCUGUAAUUGGGAUCACAGAAUCAAAGUGGGUUUUAUUGCUUGCAGAAAUCUUCAGUUGUGCAGUGACUUUGUGUGUGUCCAGAGCCAUGACUAUUGAUUUUUAGAACUUAUUCAAAGAGGGGAAAGAUUUAGGUUUCUUGUAGCCUAUUGCUUUGCUAAUAAUAACUACACGUGUUGUCCAAUCAUGGCACAAUUACCAAGCAGACUCUCCUUUCAAUUUGUUCAAUAGCCCAGUAACAACCAAACAGCUUGGAGGUUUGAGAAAAUAACUUACACUCAAAGUCCUUCUUAAUGUUACACUCUAGACUUGAAUUCCUUGCUUGGUGUAGUACUUUAGUAGCGAAAAAUAAAACAGUUAACCUUUAAGAAUAGACAUCAUGAAACACUAAUGCGCUAAUUAAACUUCUGGAGGUGGGCCAUAUGCUUCCCAUUUAGAAAUGUUUCUGCUCUAUGCGAAUGCGUAAAGUCUCCAAAACUCAAUUUGCUGUGUUAAGAGGCAAAUUUGUUUCUUUCCACAAUUUUUAACACUCAUAAUAAACACCCAGACUCACUCAUAUCAUUUAGCAAAUUAUUGAAAUUGAAAUACCACUGCUCUGCUUGUUUUCUGGAAAAAAAUAAUACAUGAAAUGGUAAAGGGUACUUUCCAGUGCUCUGAACCAGCUGAGCGGUUUAGAAAAUGGAUGGAUGCUAAAUUUUACUAAGUGCUGGAGAAAUUAGUUUAUUAAUGUCAGAGACAGAGGGAGAAGGGAAGUCAUUAAGGAGAGAGAGGGUGGUAUUUUCAGCUUUGUGUGUCUUUGUGAGGGUAAUAUUGACUGACGGCGCAUUGAUUUACUUAAGUGCAAUACGUUAUGUGGCUGAAAUCAAUCACGGAAACCGUGGGUGAUCUCGUACACACCAUGUUUAACAUCACACAAAUGUUGGCUCAGUGUGUGGCACUGAUUCUGCCGUGGUCCUGUGGCGCUAAGUGGUUUUGACAAAGUGUUUUCUUUUUGACACUGUGGGGAGCGUUAAGUUUUCAGAUGCCGAAAUAGUUUCAUUGCCAAAUAGAGGCAGUUACAGACAGCGGUGAGCUGUUUUGGUGGGCUUGUCUGUCUGUCUCACACACACAAGUGCACUUGCCUUUAAGGUAAAUGCACACACGUAAACACCUGGGCAGGCAACAUGUAAAAGGUCUUGAAUCCUUCAGGCAUAAGAGCAAAGUCAGAAACUGAAAGAGGCACAAAACAGGAGUCACGCUGCUAACAGUGUCUAAACAUGGUUGUUUAUUUUUUUUAUGUCUAAGACAAUAAGGUCAGAAUAUUUUCACCAUCUGUCAUUUGCUUACAUGGGGUGCACAGCAGAAAAGUGUUUCCUUUACAAUAAAUGCAUUUGCAUUAGUAGGUGGUUUAGCUAUAUCCUGCAGGAGGCAGGAUACAUGAUGAUGAUUCUCUGUGUAUUAUCUGCACUAUUUCUUUCAGUUUCAGAGUUUCAGAUGGAGUCUCAGAUGAGGCUAAUGUCCGGUUCUAUUCUGUCUUUUCACAUGGACGACCUCUGCUGAAUAAAGUCUACAAAAGUAGAGUGAAAUAAUUUUAUCUCUGUGUUUUCAUCUCUAUAAAGUAAUUUCGUGU
Molecule: long non-coding RNA, 2331 nt
Organism: Astatotilapia calliptera (eastern happy)
Lineage: Eukaryota; Metazoa; Chordata; Actinopteri; Cichliformes; Cichlidae
Source: Ensembl